RNAcentral lists this non-coding RNA (25 nucleotides) under Mus musculus (house mouse). Lineage: Eukaryota; Metazoa; Chordata; Mammalia; Rodentia; Muridae. The record is from RNAcentral.
UGAUGAAUUAAUCUAUCUGGCAGCC